GGUGGUUUGUGACUUAUGAUAAAUGUGUGAAAAUUAAUUAAAAAAAUAAUACAAGUGAUAAAAAAAUUAAAAUGCCGGACACACUAUCCUUAUCAGCUGGAGUGAGCCUGGGUCUCCUGGCGGGAAUCGUCUCUGGAGUGUGCUACCUCGUCGCCAAUGGAUUGACUUGGCCCAAGAAUGAGCAGGACCGGUACAGGAAAUGCAUAGCAUCGUCAGAGGACGACAGCAUCUGUCGUAGGUGCGGCGGCGACAGACAGGGGGGCGCCGUGCCGUGCAUCUGUUUUGCUCACGAGCCUGUGAAGUUCGAAUCGGGAGCUUGGUUCUUAAGGCAGGUCCAGCGGGCCAUCAGCCUCAUGCCGUGGUCCAUAUCCACCGAAAAACUACAACAAAUUGACGAAGAAUGCGAUGGCGACGCCAGUCCUGGUCCGAGUGGACCGACACGGAAAGACCUCCGAACAAUAAGAGAAUUCUUGGAAACUAUCUCUGCGAAAUUAGCGGGAGGACCACUCGAGGGGACCAGAGUCGCGUCGCUGUAUGACCAUCCUGCUUAUUUACCACCUCGCAAUGCAUCGCCAAGCGCUUCAAGCAGGCACCCGUCUAGCGCGAGCUCAGCACAUGUUCAGCUCAAGCGACUGGUCGCCAGGGUGGUGGAGGAAGCUGCAUCGAUGCCAGCGCUAGCGCGUUACGCUACCGAACCUUCGCACACGCCGAGCAUCGAGUCUUCUACUUAUGAAGAUUUACUGGCGUCAGCUAUUUUGAAUAAGGUGAUCGAGCGCUACCAGAAUGAGAACGGUUCAGGUGGUCGCAGCAGCGGCAUCCACUCCGCCAGCGCGAGCCCUACGCCUUCCGAACGAUCUUCGCCGCGGUCUCUUAACUCAAGGCACACCCGGGAUAUAACACCUCCUCUUCAUGAAGAGGAAGACGUGUCAGACUGGGACGAGGGCGAGGCGACCGACGAGGCACUGGAGGUGCCGCGCCGCGUGCCAUUCCCUGAGUUCGGCGAAGACAUAGUCCAUCAGUCAGUUACAGAAAAUGAAGACCGCGACUUCGACGAAGUCUCCGGCAGUGAUUUACAAGCAGUCGACGGCACUUGGGAAGAGAACUGGCUGUUUCAGAAGAAGAAGAUCAAAACCGUACAAUCAGUCCCUGUGCCUAUGUUAGUUCCAAACUCUAACACGGAAUACAGAGCACUUAUCGGAGAUAGGGACGCAGACGACACCACAGACUUGUCAGACAACGCAAGCGACGCUGACGAAGACGCUGAAUAUAAGAGCGACAUCAAACGAGUACUAGACUCCAAACACAUCAUAGGCGGUAAAACAAAAAUAAACGACCCACUAGACAUGGAACCAGAUAGUUUGACUAUUAUUGAGAACGCAAAGGAAUUCGAAAAACUCGUUGAGGACGAAUAUAAAGAAAAUGAAAAGGCCAUGGAUAAAGUGAUCAACGAAAUUAAUGACAAUAAUGUUACCAUCGUUGAAACUAUAAACGUAAACACAUCAGACAAAGUUGACAGUGGUCAAGAGUCUAUAUUAAUACUCGGUAUUGAAGAUGGACCGCUACCUAAAGCUGAAUUUGCUAUGAACGAAGAAAUACAUAGGACAGGUUUGAAUGGAGAUAUUAAUGGUUAUGCUGAUGUCAAGACAAACGGUGAAGUCUGCAAUGGAAGUGCAGGAAGUCUCCCAGAGAAAGUAUUAUCAAACACACUCAGCCACCAUGAAAGAGAGAGUGAGUACGAAGAGACAGUGACGCGGCCCGUCCAGAGGUACGCCGACAGCUUGAGGAGAAAGCAUUUCGAAGACACCCCCGCAGAAAAUCCACCACAAGAUGAGGAAGAAGAAUUAAUACCAGGCUCAAUAGCAUACAGAGAACGAAAGAAAUGGUUGAACUGUGUUGAAAUGCCCAACAAUCCUUAUUCGCCAGAAGCAAUAAAGAAACGAUUGUCAGCAAAAAGCACGUCAUCUAUAUUCGACAUGAUUACUAAAAACAAAGAUAUGGAAGACAAUAUUGAGAUAGACGAGGUCACUGACAAUGAAACAGUGGAUAGCUUGGAGACGCCAAUGAGAGAAAUCAACCAUAAUAAUUUAUCUAUGACGCUAAGUACUGAAAAUGUGAACAGAAUUGAUAGGAGAUCACAGAGUCCGUCUCCGAAGAUACUUAAAGACGUGUUGGCUGAUGAAGUUCCACAAUACAAACGAUACGGCAGGGAUUAUUAUAUAAGGGAGGCGAAGGCCUCGUCAGGCGGACGGAAAAAGGGCAGCUUCAGCGACACGAGCUCCAUAUCGUCAAUGAACAAGUCAACGAGCUUAGACAAUUUCGAUACAGAGUUCGCCUCGCCUGUAAGUGCCAGCAGCUCGUUGAGCGACCUCGAGGCCUCCGCCCUUCACCAGAACAUCGUUCGUGCCGUACUCAGCCCCAGAAAUGCGAGCCCCAACUUCGCUAUCAACCCCAUUUUCGAAAACCCCGAUAGACCUUGCGAUAACGGCGACGACCCCGCGCCGCUGCGUCGGCUCGGCCGCGCACACAACGUAAGGCAAUACACAAACGUGUGCGAUGGCGGUGACGGUUAUGUGGAAAACGAGGAUAUAGUUAGACUUAAAAUACCGACCAAACCCGAAAUCACCGAGGACCUAUUCGAGACUUACAACAGUGUUAGGAGCAACACGCUGCGAAGCGAUGAUCUGUGCCGCCGAGCCAAACGGCGCCCGCCUCUCACCUACGCGUUCGGUGGGAGUCUCAGGUUAAGCAAAGGCUUUCGUACCGAUCUCUGGUGAUUGAGCACCUAAUAGUCCGUUAUCUAUCCACCUUGAUCUGACAGCACCUUAUUGACAAACAUAACGAACAGUACUCGACUGCAUCUGCAUACCAUGCGAUACCUCCAACAGACAAAGUGAAACAUUACCAUUAACACUAGGUUAAGACAAGCUCUAGUUAGGUCAACGAUACGGUGAAAGGUCCAUACAUCCGACCGACACAUUAUCUAAAAUAUCUUCGUUUUACACACAAAACUAUACUCGAUGUGUGUAAAGUUGGCAUGUUUUGUUGAAUUAAACAGUGGAACCGCUGACUAACAGCACUCUGCACUUAUUAAUACAAAAGAAUCUCUAGUGCUGCACAUAUAUACAUAGAUUUGUGUACUUCGUAUUAAACAUUUUCAGUAAUAUUUACAACAGUAACAAUCGAAGAAGUGUGUGGGAUUACUUAUAAAACAGUUCAACAUGAUCGCAACGAACCAACAGUACACGAAAUUUGCUAAAGAUCAACCCAUAGAUACUGUAACCAUUAUGAAUAACCAAAA
RNAcentral lists this unclassified non-coding RNA (3298 nucleotides) under Manduca sexta (tobacco hornworm). RNAcentral describes it as "uncharacterized LOC115440786, transcript variant X6". The record is from RNAcentral. Lineage: Eukaryota; Metazoa; Arthropoda; Insecta; Lepidoptera; Sphingidae.